CUAAUACAUGCAAGUAGAACGCUGAAGAGAGGAGCUUGCUCUUCUUGGAUGAGUUGCGAACGGGUGAGUAACGCGUAGGUAACCUGCCUGGUAGCGGGGGAUAACUAUUGGAAACGAUAGCUAAUACCGCAUAAAAUGGAUUAUCGCAUGAUAAUCCAUUGAAAGGUGCAAAUGCAUCACUACCAGAUGGACCUGCGUUGUAUUAGCUAGUUGGUGGGGUAACGGCUCACCAAGGCGACGAUACAUAGCCGACCUGAGAGGGUGAUCGGCCACACUGGGACUGAGACACGGCCCAGACUCCUACGGGAGGCAGCAGUAGGGAAUCUUCGGCAAUGGACGGAAGUCUGACCGAGCAACGCCGCGUGAGUGAAGAAGGUUUUCGGAUCGUAAAGCUCUGUUGUAAGAGAAGAACGAGUGUGAGAGUGGAAAGUUCACACUGUGACGGUAUCUUACCAGAAAGGGA
This 463-nucleotide ribosomal RNA is filed under the name Streptococcus oralis subsp. tigurinus. RNAcentral describes it as "bacterial SSU rRNA". It matches the Rfam family "Bacterial small subunit ribosomal RNA", at positions 48 to 493 of the family's 1533-position model. Lineage: Bacteria; Bacillati; Bacillota; Bacilli; Lactobacillales; Streptococcaceae. The record is from RNAcentral.